RNAcentral lists this ribosomal RNA (467 nucleotides) under uncultured bacterium. RNAcentral's name for it is "partial 16S ribosomal RNA". It matches the Rfam family "Bacterial small subunit ribosomal RNA", at positions 28 to 507 of the family's 1533-position model. The record is from RNAcentral.
GACGAACGCUGGCGGCGUGCUUAACACAUGCAAGUCGAACGGAAAGGCCCUGCUUUUGUGGGGUGCCCGAGUGGCGAACGGGUGAGUAACACGUGAGUAACCUGCCCUUGACUUUGGGAUAACUUCAGGAAACUGGGGCUAAUACCGGAUAGGAGCUCCUGCUGCAUGGUGGGGGUUGGAAAGUUUCGGCGGUUGGGGAUGGACCCGCGGCUUAUCAGCUUGUUGGUGGGGUAGUGGCUUACCAAGGCUUUGACGGGUAGCCGGCCUGAGAGGGUGACCGGCCACAUUGGGACUGAGAUACGGCCCAGACGCCUACGGGAGGCAGCAGUGGGAAUAUUGCACAAUGGGCGGAAGCCUGAUGCAGCAACGCCGCGUGCGGGAUGACGGCCUUCGGGUUGUAAACCGCUUUCGCCUGUGACGAAGCGUGAGUGACGGUAAUGGGUAAAGAAGCACCAGCUAACUACGUG